Small nucleolar RNA from Ornithorhynchus anatinus (platypus), 139 nucleotides. The record is from RefSeq and is a predicted model, not a curated record. NCBI's taxonomy places the organism in Eukaryota, Metazoa, Chordata, Mammalia, Monotremata, Ornithorhynchidae.
UUCCUCUCAGGAUCACACCUGAAGAGUUUCCAGGACUCUACCAGUCUCGACUAUGGGGAGGGAGAGGCAAGCAGAGGCCUGUCCAUUCCAUUCCUAGCUCGGGCAGUGGCUAGCGAGUGGAAAACAAUCCGCUACAAGU